This 2517-nucleotide long non-coding RNA is filed under the name Gadus morhua (Atlantic cod). RNAcentral describes it as "lncRNA (ENSGMOG00000036783.1)". Lineage: Eukaryota; Metazoa; Chordata; Actinopteri; Gadiformes; Gadidae. The record is from RNAcentral.
GUUGUGGACUCUUAAUACCAUCUCCAAACAGCAGUCUUACAAUGGUAAUGACAGUAUUUCAGAGCUGUUCAAAUGCAUGUUCCCAGAUUCCGACAUCGCUACCACAUUUACUUGUGGUCCUGACAAAACGGCGUACAUAGCCAAGUUUGGUUUAGCUGUCUAUAUAAAAGAGGAACUGGUGUCCCAAGUCAACAAAUCGCCGUUCGUUCUGAUGUUCGACGAGAGUCUCAACGAGACUACGAAAAACAAACAGCUGGAUGUGCAUGUCCGCUUCUGGAACGAGGGACAGGUUCAGUCCAGAUAUCUGGGCUCCCAGUUUAUGGGACAUUCCACUGCACAAGACCUGCUGUCACAUCUCAAAGUAAGCAUGACCCUUUUUACUCUACUUUCCUUAACAAUGUUUGUUUAUGUGUUUAUGUACUUGGCAGACGCUUUUGUCCAAAGCAAAUACCGUAUUUUCCGCACUGUAAGGCGCACCGGAGUAUAAACCGCAGCAGCUAAAUUGAAUGAUGUGUACAUAUAUAAGACGCACUGGACUAUAAGCCGCAGGUGUUUUAAUGUUUAAUUACCAUUAGGGCUGGCCCGAAUGCCAUUUUUCAGGCUUCGGAUACUCGUUGGUUUUUCCGAGCGAUUAAUCGAAUACUCGUUCCAGAAAAAAACACCACCAAAAAUAACAUUAAUAAUCCCUAUAUACUCCCUGGAACCGAUUAUGACAGUAUCUGCAUAUUUUGUUGAAGAUUUAAUAGCUUUUUACCGUUAAUUAGUAGGCCUAAGUAGGUUGAAGUUCCUUAGUUUUUCCCUGUGGAAGCGAACAGCUGUUGUUCCGUUCCGAAUCAAGUGUGUGUGUGUGUGUGUGUGUGUGUGUGUGUGUGUGUGUGUGUGUGUGUGUGUGUGUGUGUGUGUGUGUGUGUGUGUGUCAAUAUGUGAUGCUCACCUAGUCCUCUUAUUUUGAGUAAUGAAAUGCAGCCCUUUUUUCAGGAAUGUAUGGACAAACUGAACCUCAGGAACUUGGUGUCUAUUUCAAUGGAUGGGCCCAAUGUGAAUUGGAAACUCUUCGACCUUUUCCAGAAAGAUCAAGCUGAGCAGUACGGAGGUCUUCAGCUCGUUUGUGUGGGAAGCUGUGGCCUACACACGCUACACAACUCCUUCAAGUGUGGGUUCACUGUAUGGCAGCUGGACAAAUUGCUGAGAGCAAUGCACACAUUGUUUCACAAUACGCCUGCCAGGAGAGAGGAUUACAUCACCGUAACCAAGUCCAGUGUGUUCCCUCUAUCUUUCUGUGCCCAUCGUUGGGUAGAAAACCUUCCGGUUGUGGAGAGAGCCCUGGCAGUCUGGCCAUCACUUCUCCUGUACAUGGAAGCUGUGAAAACAAAGAGACUCCCGAACCCUGGAACAGCAUCAUAUGACACACUUGCAGCAGCCAUAAAGGAUCCACUCGUCUUGGCCAAAUUGCAGUUCUACGCAGCAAUUGCCAGGACCUUCAAUCCCUUCCUGAAAAAAUAUCAGACGGAUGAGCCUGUGCUCCCAUUCCUCCCCAAGGACCUGACCGAGUUGAUGAUGAGUCUACUCAGACGCUUCAUAAAAAGAGAAGUACUACACGAUAUCACUGCCCUGCAGCUGACCAAACUGGAUGUCACAGACAAGACCAUCUGGCUCAGCCCACAAGACAUCAGCAUUGGUCUAGGUGCAGAGUCAGUCCUUAAGAGAAUCAAAGGUGCAGAACUCAGGGUGCUCGAGUUCAAGAGAGAGUGCAUGCAGGGACUGAGUAACAUGAUCAAGAAAGUGCAGGACAAGAGCCCCCUCAAGUAUCUGACUGUUAGGCAGAUGGUGUGCCUGGAUCCGUCAGUAAUGUAUAGAGAACCAGAUAGAGGCAGGAAUCGCAUGAAAGGGCUGGUUCAAAGGUUUCUCCAGGACAAACAGCUUACUGAUACUUCUUUGGGGGAUGUCAUACUGCAGCAGUUUGACAGUCUCCUGUCCUUGGAGAGCCGGAGUGAGGACUUCCUCUCCUUUCAACCCAUGCAAAAGAGGCUGGACAUCUUCCUGAGCAGCGCCAUGGAGCCUUAUCCCGAGCUGUGGGCCUUCUGCAAGAAGCUGCUCAUCCUCUCCCACGGUCAAGCUACAGUUGAGCGUGGAUUCUCAAUCAAUAAAGAGGUGGAGUCUGAUAACUUGGAGGAGGAUACUGUGGUCACACGGAGACUGGUGUGGAAUCUGGUUCUCUUUCCCCAACCCGAUACCCAGGUUCCACUCAGUAAACCGCUACUGGAAAGUGUAGCAAGGGCAAGGACAAGGUAUCGUACCCAUCUGGAGACCAAAAGAAGGAACAGGGAGGCAAAAGAGCAGGCUCUCAAGAGGAGGGAAGCAGAGGACUGUCUUGAGGAGCUGAAGGUUAAGAGGAGACGUGUACAGGAGGUAUCUGAGGGUCUGGCUAGGGAUGCGGACAAGAUGGCUGAGGAGGCUGAAGCGAAGGCAGGGAGCAAGAUGGCUGGCCUGAUCAUGUUGGGCAAAAUAACCUGCUGA